This is a long non-coding RNA of Zingiber officinale, 817 nucleotides long. RefSeq lists it as uncharacterized. Lineage: Eukaryota; Viridiplantae; Streptophyta; Magnoliopsida; Zingiberales; Zingiberaceae. The transcript is spliced from 3 exons. The record is from RefSeq and is a predicted model, not a curated record.
AUUUUUUUUUCUUUUCCUUUUUCCUUUUUCUUUUUCUUUUUAAUUUCUUUAAAACCUUCGUUUCUUCCCCCUCCUCACACCCGAGCCCGACGCCGUCUCCCUUCUUCCUCCUUGCCCUAACCGCCGGCGGCGGUUACUUCUCCCGAGCCUCUUCUCUUCUUCUCCGGCCCUGCCCAAGCGCCGGCGAGCGCAAGCCAUUGCCGGCGAUCCAUCCUCUGCCCUAGCCUUGCCGUGGAGUUCCUAGCGCCGUCGCCGCAAAUCACCGCCGCCCGAUCGCCUGCCCUAGCCACCCGACGUCGACCACAGAAGCCGACGCCGACCCCAAUCGCCGGUGCCCUAGAGCCGAUCACCGUGCAUCACCCUUUCUUCCUCUGCCCUGGUGUGAGUUCACUGCCGAUUUGCUGUGCCGCCGCCGAGCCGAGCAUCUCCACCGACGCACGAGCAGUGCCGGCGACCCUUCCUCUGCCCUAGACAACCUGCAGUGCCGGCGCUGUCAUCUGUGCCCUAGCGUCUCCGCCGACGCCAAGCAGUGCUGUUAUCUCUCCGGGUUGUGGACAGAGGCAAAGCAAUCCGAGACUAGCCUCUUGGUGAUCCCAAUCUGCUGCCCAACACCAUUGUCUUUCCCUCUUCAUUCCUCCGGCAGCCGGUUUCACUACCACCAGCAGUAGAUUUUGUAUUGUACUACCAUCACUGAAGAAGAGGAAGUGGAAACAGGGAGGAAGCAAUUGUAAAACCUCUGUGGCCGGAUUGUACCCUUGACCACCUACUUGAGUUUGGGACUUUGACGCGAGACGAGUAUCUCGGAGUCAGAUCGGAC